AUGCCGAGGAGCACGCGACGCAGGUCCCGCAAGCACGACCGGGAGGAGCGGGACAGGUCGGACUCCGACGAGGAUCCGCGGCCACGGGAGCAGGAGGAUAGGAAGGCGUCCGCCGGCAGGGCCUCCAAGGGCUCGGAGGGCCACGAGAAGCGGCCGGCAAAGCUUCCCAUUGCGGGCGAGGCAUCUGGUUCGUCGGCCGAUGGGCAGAAGAAGAGGAAGAGCAGAGGGGAGAAGGAUAAUGCCACUGGGGAUGACAGGUGGAGUCACGGCGAAGAAGAUGAGAGGGUCAGUUACCAUGACUCGAAGAAGUCCAGGAGUUCAGAUGGCGAUGUGAAGGGGAAGUCUGCAAGGAAGUCUAGCAAGGAAUAUGAUAGGUCCAACGAGGUUGUCAGAAGGAAGUCAGAUAAAGAUACAUUAUUUUUGGAGGAGCAUAGUGGUGGCGAGCAUCACCGAGUGAAGGAGAAGGGGAGGGAGCUUGAGGCAGAGAAGUCGAAAGAAAGCAAGCUAGUGUUGAUGCUCAAGGAAGACGGUAUGGAUCAGCAGUAUAAGAUUGUCAAGGAUAGGAGUAAGGAUCAUGAAAAGGGGAGUGAGGGCAGGCAUGAUGCAUCAUUGAAAGCUACGCCAAGAAACAAAGAGGUGAAAACACGAGAUUUGGACAGCGAUAAAACAAAGAAUUAUUCUAAUGGAGGAACUGAUGCAGACCGUCAUCGUGAAGAUGAGUUACACGGUGGAGAUUCAGAAAAGAAUGGGAGGCACAGGAAAACAAAGGAUCAGUCUGCCGCGAAAGAUGAGUUACAAAGUGGCAGCAAGGGAAGGCAAACCAUGCCUCGGGAUGUUCGUACCAAAACUGAUGGAUGUUAUGAGCAGCAACACACAGAUGGGAAAUUGAAAGAUGACAUGCCUAGAGGUGUGGAAAAACGCAGAGAAGAAAAAUAUAGAGAUGAUAGGUCCAAAGCUCAGGAUAGGCAUAACAAUGACAGACACAAAGAUGACAGACAUAAAGAUGAGGAACUGCAUAGAGAUGAAAGGUACAAAGAGGAAAGGUCGAGACACGAAGAUAGACAUAGGGAUGUAAAAUACAAAGGGGAAAGAUCUAAAGAGGACGACAGAUACAAGGACGAAAGAUACAAAGAUAAGCCUAGAGAUGAAGAGAAACCCAGGAAUGAAAGAUCUGAUAACAGCUCUAGAGAGAAACAUCGAGAUGAUAGUUAUAGACAUCAUAGGAGUCAAGAUGGUGGGUCAUGGGAUGUGCGAUCCUCAAAGGACAACACUAGAGACAGGUCAUUGGAAAAGCACUGCAAAGAGGAACAUAAUUACUCAGAGAGCAGGCACAAUAGAAAUAGACUCCAUGACAAUGAGGUUGACACAUCUGCUGCUGAUCGUAGGAGCUCUAAGUAUAGAGAUGACAGCAAAGGGAAGAAAAGGUCUUAUGAAGACGGCAUUCAUAAUGGUGAUCUGGAACCCAGGAAUGCAAAAGAAUAUCACGGAGAUGCUAAACGCAGGUCUGAUGUAGGCUCAUUUGUAUCCAGUGAAGACCGUAGACGGGAAUAUGAGAAGGUUGAUUCUCGGAGGAGGGAUUUUGAGAGGAAGAGCCCCACCAGAUCCAGCACAUAUCCUGUGAAGGAGCAAAGCAGGCAUGUCUCUAAACAAGAAGAAUCCUCACCCAGGGAGAAUGGUGCUGCUCUUGGAAGACAUAGACGUACAUCUGACUUUCAAUCAGUUGAGGGUCUUAGUAAAACUGAUGCAAAUAACAAUGAAUCCUCUCUUCCCUCGAAAGAUGGUAGAAGUUUGAGAUCUGAUGGCCGACCAAUCCAUUUUAAUGAUAGACCACCAUCAGCGAGUGAUUGUCAAGUUUCGAACCGGAGCAAUCUGGGGCAUAAUCAUGAUACUGUUGAUGGCUCAAUGAAGAAAGGUAAUACCAGAAAUCAUGAGUUAUUGAAUCGUCAAGCUACUGAGAACUAUCAAAGUGCAUCACCAGGGCAUCUCCAUCUGCCACGUGAUAGACCUGAGAUGGACAAUCAAAGAUCCUUUGAUGAUGAUAAUAGGAGCCAGAUUAGAGAACGCAGAUCAAGCAGCCGCUCAAGAAGAAGUGGUACUGUUGAUAAUGCAAGAGGGCAUGGUAACACUUGGAAUAAUCCGUCUUCAUGGCCUUCACCAGCACCAAGUGGUUUUGGUCCUUUCCAGCAUGGGCCUCCAAUCCCUGGUUUUCACCGAGCUAUCCACCAGUUCCCUCAAUCUUUAUUUGGGAUGCGGCCAUCUAUGGAUACGAAUCAUGCUGGGAUGCAUUAUCCUUUGCAUGGACAUCCUGAAAGUUUUCCACAUUGUUCACAACCAUUUCCGUGGCACAAUCCUGCAGAAGACCCUUAUCUCUCUCGGGUACCUGGUUGGGAUGCAAAUAGAAGUGUCUUUGAUGAAUACUCACACAACUAUGGCAGGCAAGAACUGGGCCGGAAUAAUGAUCCUAAUUUUCAUCAGCAGUCAGAGUCGGAGGUGCCAUUUCCAUCUCAUACUCUUGUCAAGCCCUCGUUAAUGCAACUCCCAGCUGAAAAUCAAAGUCAAAGCUCUGAAGUCAAAACAGUUGGGACCAAUGCUGAAAAAACUGAUGCACAUGCUCCAAAAAAUAGAUCUGACGCAACUCCUGGGCCUUCUAAUGUAAAAGUGGAUUCUUGGUUUUGCUCUAACUACUUUAAGAGGCUUGAUAUUUCGACAAGCCUUGCUUCACCAGAGCUGUACAAAAAAUGUAGUACAAUGGCGGGGGAGUUGGAGCUGGCUGGAUCUUGUGAAUCUACCAUGCAUCGGUGCUUGAAGAAUAAUAAAGAUGAGCGCGGGUAUCAAGCUCAAGGUUUCAAAUGCAUGAUAAAGUCCAUAUUUUCAGGGAAAGCAACUUCUGUAUUUGAGAAUGCCAUGAAGCUUUAUAGUUCGAGCACUGGUUCUAGGAAGUCCAAAGCUCUCACAUCAUCUUUACAACCAGAAAGUGAAGAGAUGAUUAAGGAGGCUUCUGCGGACAUGGUGGAGGGAAAAAAUGUUCCUGUCAGCCAGGAUCAGGCAUUGCUUUGUACUGAUAUGUGUGACGAAGUGCACAAUAACGGCGGGCCUCAUCAUGCAGCGGUUGAUAGCAUGCCUGGUAAAGCUGGGCUGGCAAAAGAUUGCAGCAACACAGGAGAAGACAAGGUUGGCUCAGAUGUUGAGGACAAAAGCCUCAGCAUCAACCAUGCUGAGGGGCAUGCUUGUGAUACUGAGGAGCUGCAAUUUCCGAGCAACGGUGAGGGAGAGCUCCUCCCUCCCAAAGCUUUGCAACCUUGUUGCAGCUCGGUAAGCAGUGCUCCUGACGUUUCGAAAGAGCAGUUUUCUGGUGUCAUUUCUGAUGCUACAUUUGCCUCUGGUUCUCAGUCGUGCGAGGAUGUCAUGCCAGGUUGUAGGGUUAAUUUUAACCGGAUACCUUGCUCUCCUGGGAGUACUUAA
RNAcentral lists this ribosomal RNA (3462 nucleotides) under Triticum aestivum (bread wheat). Its description in RNAcentral is "partial small subunit ribosomal RNA". Lineage: Eukaryota; Viridiplantae; Streptophyta; Magnoliopsida; Poales; Poaceae. The record is from RNAcentral.